Molecule: transfer RNA, 89 nt
Filed under: prasinophyte sp. MBIC10622
Lineage: Eukaryota; Viridiplantae; Chlorophyta
Description: tRNA-Ser
Rfam family: tRNA
About the family: Transfer RNA (tRNA) molecules are approximately 80 nucleotides in length. Their secondary structure includes four short double-helical elements and three loops (D, anti-codon, and T loops).
Source: RNAcentral
GGAGGAAUGGCUGAGUGGCUGAAGGCAUUGGUUUGCUAAAUCAACAUACACGUAUUUGUGUAUCAUGGGUUCGAAUCCCAUUUCCUCCG